AUCUGCAAGACAAGACAUGCUUACAGGGAAAGGGUAAAUAAAAAUAUACCACAAAACAGAUAAGCCCAACAAUAUGCAUUUAGCAAAAGCAUAAAGACUUCUACAGAGACACCUGCUGCAAUUGUUCAUGUAUUUCCAGGAUGCAAUGGAAAGACGCAGCCCAAAAAUUUGACAAUAUAAAGACAAAACCCAUACUUAAAACAAAGAUAUUUGAUUUAAUUUGUUUGUAAUGAGGAGUCCUAACUGGUAGGAAUGUUUUGAUUAGUUAUUUAAUGACUCUUAAAAUCUACUGUGCUGAUUUUACAUUUAGUCAUCUAAAUUCCUGUAUGGGCCCAACAAUUUUAUUUUGGGGUUUUCUAUUUGCAUCUACAGGAACUUAAGACUUUUUAAUGGUCAUGGAGAACAACGUAAAACUUGGCACGGUUAACUCCCCAGCAGCUUAAGAUACCAAAAGAAAAGAAAACCCUCCACAUAACUCUGAUGCAGCAACUUUGGGAAAGACAAUUAUUAUUUAGCACAGCCAAGAGUAUCACCAAGUCCAUACAGGACAUGAAAACAGAUACACUUACCUUCAUUUGGUGUCCAAGAUAGACCAGCUGUUCCAUUUCCUGACUCCCUGCUCUUUAAAUUAUCAUCAUCAGGUAAAAUAGAGUCAUUAAAGGGAUUUUUCCUUUGCUAGAAGAGAAAGGACAUAAAUUGUGCAUCAAACAUUUAAUGUCACUUUUUUUUUUUUUUUUUUUUUACCAAAACUAAUUCCACGGAAGCACAGUAAUUUUUUUCCAGCAGAAAAGCAUUUAACUGAGUCUCUUAUAAGAUGAUGAAUUCACAGCAUUACAAAAUAGUGAAAGUAAUGGCAAUUUCUGACAUGUUCAGUGACUGCCCAACUUUGCCUUGUUGAAAUCACUGGGAACGAAUCCAGGCUGGUGAUACUUAACCUUUUAGAUCAGUGGGGUACUUGCUAUCUGGCUGCACUGAGGGCCCCCAGUCCUCUCCAGUAGGGAAAGUGGCUGCCAAAGUCAGAGAGAGGGCUGUGGAGGUACUGGCAGCCUGGCACAGGGCAGAGAAGGUGAUGCAUGAGGGCACGAUUUUUGCCACUGAUCUCCUGUGCUAUGGACUGGAUCCAGUCACUUUAGGGGCAAAUUAGGGCUUCAGGAUGUUGGUUGAGCAUGACUGAUGUAGACCAACAGAGGGAAUUUGAAUAUCCCACCCUUUGGGAACUAUAGUUUCAUCUCUGCUACUGUGACUUCCAGAAAGUAUUCAGACCCAUAAAAAUAUUCUAGCUAGAUUGCCUUUGUUUUCCUCACUUUCCAGUUUUCUUUCAUGGGCAAAGUAGGUGGCAUUAGAACCACAAAUCUACGGAUCACAAUUUUUUUUUAACCAUCGAAACAUGAACAGGAGCUACAUCUCUCCAGCCUUUUAUACACCACAUACUGCUGUGGGACACACAGAUACUCCAGAUGUCCCAACACUUAGGAUAUGGGAGGUAUUUGUGGCUGGAUUCACUUCUGCUUUUCUAAAACAUAUGAAACUGUACAACAUACUGACUAGAUAGGAUAGAAGAAUACUCAGAUGCAUGACUCGCAUAAAAUAUAGAGCUAGUAGAAAUCCUUUAAGAAAAUGUUUCCCUGUCAGAACACCAACUUCACAAAAUCAAAAUAUUUCACAAGACACCCGCCUUUGGAAGAACGAAGGAAAGAAUGGUUAUUUUUUUGGUUGGGAAAAAAGUGAAUGUCUGACUUUGUCCUAAAAUCAGGACAAAAGUUUUGCAAGCAGAAAACUGUAUUAUGGAUCUAAACCUUAGUACUAAUAGACCUCCUCUGGCAUGACUGGUAAUAAUAGGUGACCAUCUUCUAAACUGGUUUAAAAGCUGGUUUUGCCAGCUAUCACAAUGUGCUGCUAUGCAGCCUGGGUUAUAGUCAGAUGGCUUUGCACCAACUAACAUUCCAAGAUAUUCCCACUGUGAUGUUUCCAUAAGGCAAAAAUACCCAAGUCCUUCAUUUUAUUAUCUUUAAAUUCUUUACUAUCGUUAUUAGCAAAGUGACAAAAAGGCACACAACAGCUUUAAGAAAUGCUUCCUUGAUACUUCAAUACUGGGCCUACCUUUGCUGGCGACACUGCUGCCUUCAUGGAACUUUCCUGUAGUCUGUCUAAUGUUACUGUCGAAGCAUGAGAACUAUGAGAAAACAAAAGUUUAUAAUGAAAUCAGGACAUCAUUUUAGGACUGGAGAAAUUAAAAUUAAGGUGCAGAUUUUUUUUAAAAAGCAACUUCAACAUGAUGGCAUGUUCUUCUACACAAAUCUGUUCCUUUCAGGUCUGAAAACAAGUUUCUUCCAGUCUUAACCUAUGAAGGAAAGGGAUGAAAUUUUCCUUUUCCACACACAGUCUUACAAGCAAAGACAUUUUGGCAUGAAAAUUUGAUACAUCUUUACACUGGCAUGUAGUAGUAGUAGUAGUUGUUAGAGAUGCACCAGCACAUCAGUCCGUAUCAUACUGGCACCAAUAAGAGGAAAAUUUACAUUAUCGGCAAUCAGCUUUUUUUGGCUGGUUAUGACCAAAAAUGUCACCAAUAAAUGCCACAUGCAUGUACGCAGCCACAACAUACAUGUGGUCAGGCUGGCAACUUGGA
This is a long non-coding RNA of Alligator mississippiensis (American alligator), 2626 nucleotides long. RefSeq lists it as uncharacterized. The record is from RefSeq and is a predicted model, not a curated record. The transcript has 2 exons. NCBI's taxonomy places the organism in Eukaryota, Metazoa, Chordata, Crocodylia, Alligatoridae.